GGCGAACAAGAAAAUUUACAAAAAUAAACGAUGUUUGACAAGCUAUUUGGAAAGGAACAUUACGUUUUUAAUGCAAUAAAUGGAUUAAACAUUAACUGGAGGCAACUAUUAUCACGGUUAAAUGAAGUAACUUAUUUUGCUGCCGAAAGUAAGUUUGAUGUGCGAUUUCGAGUUACAACUUCAGACAAGCACUGGAAGUGCACGAAGUGAUAAAAAGUUGUUAUUAAAUAACCUGCUACACACUGUAAAGACAAUGCUUCAACCUCUUUUCUUAAGAAAAUGAAUCGUUUAUGUCUGAAUUUCUUUCAUUAUCAAUAAAAAAUUGAUAUUUCAUUAACUUGGUAAAAAUUGAAAAAGUCUGAUGACGUAAGCGACUGAAAGCGAGUAUCCUAAACAACAGGACGAUUUGUUUUGCUUUUGGGGGUCGGGAAAGCAAAGUGACUGUCGGGAAAGCGAAUUCUUCGCCCUAGUCGCCUGGUAGCGUGAGCCCUGAUGUAUAGCAUAGCCAGACUACACAAUCUCCUUUUGUCAUAGUUGACUUGCUCCAUGUUUUAAAGCACCAUAGGACAGAAAAUUAUCUCUCACAACUACAAGACCUAACUGGCAAGGAUAACAGAAGCAAUAGUAUUUGUUUUAUAUUUGGGUAGAGUUGUGUGUGUUUGAUUGCUCUAUUGUACACUUUGACCUAAUCUCUAAAUGACUAUUAAAUAAUGCAUGAUUUUAACCAUUUUUUUUCCCUUCAUUUUCUAUUUUUUUUGUCAGUCCGCAAUAGCAGGCAUCUGCCGACAUGCAUCUAUGUAAUUGACGGCCCUGUACAAAGCAGGGUUUAUAGUCAUAUAACAUCAAAUUAUUCUCGUCUGGAAUUUGCAUUUUUAUGGCACUGGUCACAGCCUUCCAUCAUAAAAUAUACAAAUUCUAUCUUAGACUGGAUUAGUAAAACUCACAUCUAUUGAUUAA
Molecule: long non-coding RNA, 957 nt
Filed under: Mytilus galloprovincialis (Mediterranean mussel)
Lineage: Eukaryota; Metazoa; Mollusca; Bivalvia; Mytilida; Mytilidae
Source: RNAcentral